UUAUCUCUGUAGAGUCUGCAUAUCAAUAAGCGGAGGAAAAGAAACUAACUAAGGAUUCCCUCAGUAACGGCGAGUGAAGCGGGAAGAGCUCAAAUUUGAAAUCUUCAAGGUUCUACCUUGACGAAUUGUAGUUUAAAGAAGUGUUUUCUGUUGAAGUUUUGGUAAAAGUUCUUUGGAAUAGGACAUCAUAGAGGGUGAGAAUCCCGUAUUUGACCAGUUACUUUCCAGCUGUGUGAUACACUUUCAAAGAGUCGGAUUGUUUGGGAAUGCAGUCCAAAAUGGGUGGUAAAUUUCAUCUAAAGCUAAAUAUUGGCGAGAGACCGAUAGCGAACAAGUACCGUGAGGGAAAGAUGAAAAGAACUUUGAAAAGAGAGUUAAACAGUACGUGAAAUUGUCAAAAGGGAAGCGUUUGACACCAGUGUUGUUUUCUCGAAAAUCAAUUAAAAAAGGCAGGAUUUUGUGUUGUAUUGACUUUAUCAGCUUUCUGCACUCUUUUCUUGUCUUUUUUCAAUGCACUUUUCGUUUAACAAGUCAACAUCAAUUUCUUUUGUUGUAAAAGGGUCAUUGGAAGGUGGCUUUCUUUUCGGAGAAAGUGUUUAUAGCCUUUGGCCUCUGCAAUCGGAGAGAUUGAGGUCUGCAGCGUAGAUCCUUCGGGGUUAGAUACAUUUGUGCUAAGUUAUAGCCUUUCAUAGACAACUUGUUGACUAUGAUCAGUCAUGUAGCUUACUCGCUUAUGCUAUUUUACCUACGCUUAGGAUGUUGACGAUCAGCUGAGCGCG
Molecule: ribosomal RNA, 779 nt
Filed under: uncultured Neocallimastigales
Lineage: Eukaryota; Fungi; Neocallimastigomycota; Neocallimastigomycetes; Neocallimastigales
Description: partial large subunit ribosomal RNA
Rfam family: Eukaryotic large subunit ribosomal RNA
Source: RNAcentral